Molecule: ribosomal RNA, 253 nt
Filed under: uncultured bacterium
Lineage: Bacteria
Description: partial 16S ribosomal RNA
Rfam family: Bacterial small subunit ribosomal RNA
Source: RNAcentral
UACGGGGGGGGCAAGCGUUGUUCGGAAUUACUGGGCGUAAAGGGCUCGUAGGUGGCCAACUAAGUCAGACGUGAAAUCCCUCGGCUUAACCGGGGAACUGCAUCCGAUACUGGAUGGCUUGAAUCCGGGAGAGGGAUGCGGAAUUCCAGGUGUAGCGGUGAAAUGCGUAGAUAUCUGGAGGAACACCGGUGGCGAAGGCGGCAUCCUGGACCGGCAUUGACGCUGAUGAGCGAAAGCCAGGGGAGCAAACGGG